Molecule: long non-coding RNA, 122 nt
Organism: Dipodomys spectabilis (banner-tailed kangaroo rat)
Lineage: Eukaryota; Metazoa; Chordata; Mammalia; Rodentia; Heteromyidae
Exons: 4
Source: RefSeq, a predicted model, not a curated record
CUUUCCUUCACUUUAAUACGAAAUUGGAGCCGGCGCCGGUGGCUCUCGCCUAUUAUCCUAGCUACUCAGGAGGCUGAGAUCUGAGAAACAUGGUUCAAAGCCAGCCCGGGCAAGGAAAGUCU